UACAGAGGGUGCGAGCGUUAAUCGGAAUUACUGGGCGUAAAGCGCGCGUAGGCGGCAUUGCAAGUCGGGUGUGAAAUCCCCAGGCUUAACCUGGGAACUGCAUUCGAGACUGCAUUGCUAGAGUAUGGGAGAGGGAAGUGGAAUUUCCGGUGUAGCGGUGAAAUGCGUAGAUAUUGGGAAGAACACCGGUGGCGAAGGCGGCUAUCUGGCCCGUAAUUGACGCUGAGGCGCGAAAGCGUGGGGAGCAAACAGG
Molecule: ribosomal RNA, 253 nt
Filed under: uncultured bacterium
Lineage: Bacteria
Description: partial 16S ribosomal RNA
Rfam family: Bacterial small subunit ribosomal RNA
Source: RNAcentral